Molecule: ribosomal RNA, 1212 nt
Filed under: Triticum aestivum (bread wheat)
Lineage: Eukaryota; Viridiplantae; Streptophyta; Magnoliopsida; Poales; Poaceae
Description: partial small subunit ribosomal RNA
Source: RNAcentral
AUGGCUGCUAAGAUCCUCCUGGCCCCGCUGAUCUACGACGGCCGCCUCGUCUUCAAGAUGGUCUUUGCACCCAGCCCCACCAGUGACGACUUCCUGGCAGCCGUGAUAUGUGACAUCAAUAGGCUUGCCUACGUCACCACUAGGGCCAGGAUGCGGGUCGUGCUCGACCCCAUCCACCUCGCCGAAGGAGACCAGAUCGCCGACUUCCUUUACCAUAGAAAUUGUAUGGUCAACUGCCUCACUCAGUUUGGAGAUGUCCACGUGCUCCGCCUGCCGCAGCACCGCCGCCGGGAACCUAUCAUUCUCAAGGGCCACAUGUUAGCACAUCUUGUAGUGCAUAACAAGUGGAUCGUCCAGAUGCACGGGACAGGACCAGAUCUAAACACGUCACCCACUAUAGAGACAUUGUUGUCAUAUGUAGGAAGCAACAUGCUGUUUGACACCUCCACCGGCUUCGACCCGCCAUACAAUACAAUUUCGAAUUUCAUUAGUGCUAAUAACCUUGUGUUAUGCGAUGGUAACAUAUACCAAAUCUGGAGGAAUGCAUCCUGCAUGGUUCGUUUGCAGCUGCCAGGACGAGGUCGUUGCCGUGUAGAACAUGACGGAAUAUUUGUUUUGUGGUAUGACUCCCAGCGCCGACCAUAUUGGGACGUUGUGGCCGACUUAAGGGGACACUCAGUGUUUGUUGGGAGGAACAAUGCAGUGUCGAUAUAUGCGGAAGGUGUUCCGGGACUCAAGGGUGAUUGCAAGCUCUGCCCCGCCGCAUGCCACACCUUCAAGCUCAUCACAAUCCCCUCGGUUAGGACAUGUCUUGGUUGCCGCGGCGCAUGGCUUUCCCUCUCUAUCUGCAUCGACGAUGGUCAUAGUCUGCUCAGCCUCUUCCACCCCGUCAUGGCCACUGAGAUCCUCCUGCCCCCGCUUAUCUACGACAGGCGCCUCGUCUCCAAGAUGGUCUUUACUCCCAACCCCACCAAAGACGACUUCCUGGCGGCCGUGAUAUGUGACAUCAAUGGGUUUGCCAGCGUAACCGCUGGGACCAGGAGGUGGGCCGUCCUCGACCCCAUCCGCCUCGAUGAUGGAGACCAGAUCGCCGACCUCCUCUACCACAGAAAUGGUAUGGUCUACUGCCUCACUCGGUUUAGAGAUGUCCGCGUGCUCCACCUACCGCAGCACCGCUGCAGGAACCUAUCAUCCUCAAGGGCCACACAUUAG